AUUGAACGCUGGCGGCAGGCCUAACACAUGCAAGUCGAACGGUAACAGGAAGCAGCUUGCUGCUUUGCUGACGAGUGGCGGACGGGUGAGUAAUGUCUGGGAAACUGCCUGAUGGAUGGGGAUAACUACUGGAAACGGUAGCUAAUACCGCAUAACGUCGCAAGACCAAAGAGGGGGACCUUAGGGCCUCUUGCCAUCGGAUGUGCCCAGAUGGGAUUAGCUAGUAGGUGGGGUAACGGCUCACCUAGGCGACGAUCCCUAGCUGGUCUGAGAGGAUGACCAGCAAAACUGGAACUGAGACACGGUCCAGACUCCUACGGGAGGCAGCAGUGGGGAAUAUUGCACAAUGGGCGCAAGCCUGAUGCAGCCAUGCCGCGUGUAUGAAGAAGGCCUUCGGGUUGUAAAGUACUUUCAGCGGGGAGGAAGGGAGUAAAGUUAAUACCUUUGCUCAUUGACGUUACCCGCAGAAGAAGCACCGGCUAACUCCGUG
This 490-nucleotide ribosomal RNA is filed under the name uncultured bacterium. RNAcentral describes it as "partial 16S ribosomal RNA". It matches the Rfam family "Bacterial small subunit ribosomal RNA", at positions 30 to 507 of the family's 1533-position model. The record is from RNAcentral.